AGAAAAUCGAAAGUUGAAGCACAGUGGGAGAUUAUAGAGAUGACGCUCAAAUUAUACGUAGAUCGUAUGUCUCAAGCUUGUCGUGAAGUUAUAAUCUUCUGCAAGUUAAAUGGGAUAGACUUUGAGGAAGUUCAUAUAGAUCUCUCCAAACGCCAGCAAUUGUCUCCUGAAUAUCGAGAAAUUAAUCCCAUCCGGCAAAUACCAGCUAUAAUGGAU
Molecule: unclassified non-coding RNA, 216 nt
Filed under: Hevea brasiliensis (rubber tree)
Lineage: Eukaryota; Viridiplantae; Streptophyta; Magnoliopsida; Malpighiales; Euphorbiaceae
Source: RNAcentral